RNAcentral lists this ribosomal RNA (253 nucleotides) under uncultured Bacteroidales bacterium. RNAcentral's name for it is "partial 16S ribosomal RNA". It matches the Rfam family "Bacterial small subunit ribosomal RNA", at positions 524 to 776 of the family's 1533-position model. The record is from RNAcentral. Lineage: Bacteria; Pseudomonadati; Bacteroidota; Bacteroidia; Bacteroidales.
UACGGAGGAUGCGAGCGUUAUCCGGAUUUAUUGGGUUUAAAGGGUGCGUAGGCGGCGCUUCAGGUCAGCGGUGAAAUACCGGGGCUCAACCCCGGGGCUGCCGUUGAAACUGGCGGCCUCGAGUGGGCGAGAAGUAUGCGGAAUUCGUGGUGUAGCGGUGAAAUGCAUAGAUAUCACGAAGAACCCCGAUUGCGAAGGCAGCAUACCGGCGCUCAACUGACGCUCAUGCACGAAAGUGUGGGUAUCGAACAGG